This 200-nucleotide unclassified non-coding RNA is filed under the name Agaricomycetes sp. RNAcentral's name for it is "partial internal transcribed spacer 2". The record is from RNAcentral. Lineage: Eukaryota; Fungi; Basidiomycota; Agaricomycetes.
UUAAGUUCAGCGGGUAGUCCUACCUGAUUCGAGGUCAGAUUUCAAAGUGUGCUUGACCGCCGCUCAUACGGCGGUCGAGGCGGGGGACACGAGGCCCGGUCGGACGAGGACAAUACAACGCCCGUGGGUGCUCGGAGACCCCACCGAUUCAUUCAAGGGGAGCCGCGUCGCCGCGGCAGGCCCCCAAGUCGCCGCCAGCC